UGAAAUCUCGGGGCUCAACCCCGAAACUGCGUCUGAAACUGGAGGUCUAGAAUCUUGGAGGGGGAAGGGGAAUUUCUCAUGUAGGGGUAAAAUCCGUAGAUAUGAGAAGGAACACCAGAGGCGAAGGCGCCUUCCUGGACAAGUAUUGACGCUGAGGCGCGAAAGCGUGGGGAUCAAACAGGAUUAGAUACCCUGGUAGUCCACGCUGUAAACGAUGAAUACUAGAUAUUGGGGGAUUUGACCCCUUCAGUGUCGUAGCUAACGCGUUAAG
Molecule: ribosomal RNA, 271 nt
Filed under: uncultured Bacteriovorax sp.
Lineage: Bacteria; Pseudomonadati; Bdellovibrionota; Bacteriovoracia; Bacteriovoracales; Bacteriovoracaceae
Description: partial 16S ribosomal RNA
Rfam family: Bacterial small subunit ribosomal RNA
Source: RNAcentral